RNAcentral lists this unclassified non-coding RNA (543 nucleotides) under Zea mays. RNAcentral's name for it is "misc RNA Zm00001eb155440". Lineage: Eukaryota; Viridiplantae; Streptophyta; Magnoliopsida; Poales; Poaceae. The record is from RNAcentral.
UAUUCACACUGUAAUAUAAUGUGGGAAACAUGAUUAAUUAACAUUGUGUUUACACAUUUGGCAGAAUACAAACUUGUGGAGAAAAAACAGUUUCAGGGGAACAGAGAAUAAAUACGUAAAAACGAAUGAAUACAUACACUAAUUAACGUGACUGGAUCGGGCCGGGUAGAUGUGCAGCUAAUUAAACUGCUGAUAGGCUGUAUCUUGUGUUGCAUGUUAGAAGCCAGCGAACUUAGACAUGAUGGCAUUGACUUGGUCCUCGCCCGUGAGGAACGUCUUGGUGAGCACCUCCAUGGGCAUGGCAGGCUUAGUGGAGAACAUGGCGAAGGUGGGCGUGACGACGCCGGGCGACUGGCUGUCGAACAUGGCGACGAACACGGCGUCGCCGGCGCCGGUGUUGAGCUGGAAGUGCUGCAGGCCGCGGGGCACGACGAAGAGCUCGUUCUCCCUGACCACCUUGGAGAAGAGGCGGUUGGCCCCCGUGGUGAAGCCGACCAAGACCUCGCCCUGCAGCACCAUGACGAGCUCGGAGGCGCGCGGGUG